UGCUUUAUGCCCCUUUGACUGCCUGACCUUUGCCUGUCUUUGUUUAUAUUUUUUGCCUUGCCCUCUGGAUUACACAGUCUUAAUAAAACUCUAAACUGCACUUGUGUCUGCCUCAAGACUUGAUUCGUUACAGUGAAGGUACCUGAUGGAUCUACGCUGGGAGCUGUGUUGGAGUAAUCUGACAGAGGAAAGCUGUAGAGUUCUGUCCUCGGUUCUCAGAUCAAACUCCUCCAGACUGAGAGAACUGGAUUAUUACAGAUGAAGGCUGUGCUGCUCUGGCUUCUGCUCUGAGGUCAAACUCCUCAUCACACCUGAGAGAACUGAAUCUGAAGGGUAAAAAUCCAGGAGAAUCAGGAGUGAAGCUGCUCUCUGAUCUACUGAAGGAUCCACACUGUGAACUGGAGACAUUAUACAUUAACUGUAAUAAACUCACCAGGACUGAUGUCUGACAGGAGUCUCACCUCACACCUCGUCUCCAGGAUAAAGCAGUUUUGGUGAAGCAAAGAACCCGUCCCACAUUUCCAGCAGUUUGAGAGCUGAAUCAUUAAACUUAGAGGCAGAGCAGAAACAAAAUCAAGAACAGGCAGAAGGUCAUACACAGGAGAAAUCAACACACGUAACCAAAUAUCUGCUGUACAAAGCAACAGCAACAAUCUGCCCCGGGGAUGGAGACUGGUCGUAGUGGUGAUGCAGUAAAUCUACACUUUACUGGAGAAGCACAAACACAGUCCUGUGGUUUUAAAUGACUCUUGCGCGUUGUUAUGAAGUACUCCCGCGCAUGUCUAUACACUGAACACGUAAUACGCGUGCGCAUGACGUCAUCGUUUUCACAGAUUCUCGUUUUUGUCCAUUUACAUGGAGACGAUAACGGCAUCGAUUUCAAAAACUUGCACUUUGAAACCCGUUUUCCAAAGUUUGCGUUUUCAGGCCCCGAAACGCCGUCGUGUAAACGGUUCUAGUAACUACAGCAAAAUGCUGUUUUUAUUGCUAAAGUUUUUCUGUAAACAAAUAGAAAUGAAACUCAAUUUUUAUGAUUCACACUAUAUUACACUCCAUUCUUCUUCUCACAGAGGACUCUAUUUUGAAAAUAAUCAAGGUUUUUUUUUUUUUUUUUUUUUUUUUUAAAUAAUUACAUUUCAUGAUACAGCUUAUUAUUGCUUUCAAGUUCAGCAAAUAGAAUUUGAAAUCUCAGUUUUUAAUAAUUUAUUACUGGGAACUACAGAGUUUUAAAAACUGUUAAAUUUUUGUAUUUUUUUUAAAGAAAAACAAUCAACGUUCAAUAACAUUUUGACUGUAUGAGUUAUACAUGUAAAACCAAAUGCACUAUGAUACAGUCUAUCAUUGCUACCAACUACAGCAAAUAGAUUUUUAACAACUCAGCUUUUAUAUUUAUUAUUUUUUUAAGAAAAAUAAUUAAAAUUCAAUAAGCUUUUGACUGUAUGAGGUAACAAUAAAUGAGCAAAAACAUAGUACUAAUUUCAUAAAAUGUCAUGAGCAGCUUGAUGCUAAUUAUAGGAAUGCAGAGUAAUUCUGAGUCUUGAACAGUAAACUCUCAAGUGUCAGUGUCAUGUCACAGCAAACCAGCGACCCCGUUUCCCAGAAUGCACCUCAGACUACAAACAUGGCCGACACAAAUUACAACUCUAAACCGACGCACAGACAUGUUCACCUUCUCCAGAAUACUAAUCAGACACACCUGGUACAUUUAUUCAUUUAGUGGACGCUUUCAUCCAAAGCGACUUACAAGUGAGAAAAUACAAGCAAAGCGAUAUCAAGCAGAGAACAAUACACGUAGUGCUACUGUACAAGAUCCAUUAAUUGAGUUCCAGAAGAAGCAAAGUGUGCAGAGUAAAUAUUAUUUAUUUAUUUGUUUUUUUGAGCGGUUGGUUAGGUGUUCAUGGAAGAGGUGGGUCUUUAGCUGUUUGUUGAAGAUGGUGACAGGUUCUGCGGUCCAGAUUGAGAUUCCUAUCUCUCUCACACACACACUUAAAUUGGAGCAGUGAACCAUAAGAUCUUUGAUUACGUCAUGUACAGGUCAGAGGUCUAGAAAUCUCUCUCUCUCUCUCUCUCUCUCCUUUUCCUAUUUAAUAAUUGUUGUUUUACUGGAAUAAUGUACACAUUACAUAUCUCUGUAAUCUUCCCUAUUUGUGGUUGUUCUCGAGUGAAAUAAUCAAGGCCUCCUACAGAACAUAUUAAGUUACACAGGAGCAGUGAUGACAAUAAACAUGACUUUUGGUGCUCAUGAUUAAAUAUGGCAGAUUUAUUAUGAACCCACUACAUUAGAGAAAGAAAUAUUAAAGGUGAAGUGUAGUAGUGCUAGUGCGUGUGAAUAGACUAUCAGUU
Ictalurus punctatus (channel catfish) is the source of this 2343-nucleotide long non-coding RNA. RefSeq lists it as uncharacterized. The record is from RefSeq and is a predicted model, not a curated record. Lineage: Eukaryota; Metazoa; Chordata; Actinopteri; Siluriformes; Ictaluridae. The transcript is spliced from 4 exons.